This 460-nucleotide ribosomal RNA is filed under the name uncultured bacterium. RNAcentral's name for it is "partial 16S ribosomal RNA". It matches the Rfam family "Bacterial small subunit ribosomal RNA", at positions 338 to 795 of the family's 1533-position model. The record is from RNAcentral.
CCUACGGGCGGCAGCAGUGAGGAAUAUUGGGCAAUGGACGAGAGUCUGAACCAGCCAAGUCGCGUGAAGGAUGACUGCCCUAUGGUUUGUAAACUUCUUUUAUAAAGGAAUAAAACGAGGCACGUGUGCCUUUUUGCACGUACUUUAUGAAUAAGCAUCGGCUAACUCCGUGCCAGAAGCCGCGGUAAUACGGAGGAUCCGAGCGUUAUCCGGAUUUAUUGGGUUUAAAGGGAGCGUAGAUGGGUUGUUAAGUCAGUUGUGAAAGUUUGCGGCUCAACCGUAAAAUUGCAAUUGAUACUGGCGGUCUUGAGUACAGGUGAGGAAGGCGGAAUUCGUGGUGUAGCGGUGAAAUGCUUAGAUAUCACGAAGAACCCCGAUGGCGAAGGCAGCUUACUAAACUGUGACUGACAUUGAUGCUCGAAAGUGUGGGUAUCAAACAGGAUUAGAUACCCGGGUAGUC